AUGUUCAUUGUUAUAAUUAUAAAUUGUUUACACGAAAUAUUUUAUGAAUAAUUUAAUAAAUUUUAAUAAAAUCACGUGACUCCAGCGAAGUCUACGAUUGGUCAGUGGAGAGCGCGGACAUUUCUGAGACGUUUUGAAAAUUUGCCGAGAUGAAAGCCUAAAAAAGAAAUCGGAGAAUUAUAGUUCGCAAAAUUCUUGUCCCCUGUAGUCAUUGUAAACUUGGGGGAAAUGCAUAAAGACUUUAACUCUGUCAAAUUGAAGGGAAUGGCAUGAAAGAAGGAAUUGCGUGGUACAUUCAAAUGGAGGAUCAAUUUUUAUAAGGAGUCCAGAUGAAAAUCGCAACUGUACAGAAAUGAGUAUUUACCCUGGUAAAAGGUCUAUUACUGUGCAGAAAAUUCUGUGGUGCCAAUUGGGUAAAAACUCUAUGAAAGUAAUGAAGAUUACAUGAAUUGCACAUGCAGCAAGUGAAUAAUGUGUGGCCAAAAAAAGGACAUGAAAUGGAGUAUACUUUCAAUACCUUUACGGUGUCUUUGUGUAUUUACAUUGCAUUAAUUAUGUUUUGUAUAUGCUGAAAAGGUGUGUUUAUUUUUUUCUUGCAAAGAAUGAUAUUACAAAUAUCAUUAUUUUGUUAAAGGUAACAA
Long non-coding RNA from Saccostrea cuccullata (small rock oyster), 641 nucleotides. RefSeq lists it as uncharacterized. The record is from RefSeq and is a predicted model, not a curated record. The transcript is spliced from 3 exons. NCBI's taxonomy places the organism in Eukaryota, Metazoa, Mollusca, Bivalvia, Ostreida, Ostreidae.